UACGUAGGGGGCUAGCGUUGUCCGGAAUCAUUGGGCGUAAAGAGCGCGUAGGCGGCCAGAUAAGUCCGGUGUGAAAGUCACAGGCUCAACCUGUGAAUGCCGCUGGAAACUGUCUGGCUUGAGUCCGGUAGGGGAGCGUGGAAUUCCUGGUGCAGCGGUGAAAUGCGCAGAUAUCAGGAGGAACACCAGCGGCGAAGGCGGCGCUCUGGGCCGGUACUGACACUGAGGAGCGAAAGCGUGGGUAGCAAACAGG
Molecule: ribosomal RNA, 253 nt
Filed under: uncultured bacterium
Lineage: Bacteria
Description: partial 16S ribosomal RNA
Rfam family: Bacterial small subunit ribosomal RNA
Source: RNAcentral